AAGGAAUAUUGGUCAAUGGACGCAAGUCUGAACCAGCCAUGCCGCGUGAAGGAUGAAGGUCCUCUGGAUUGUAAACUUCUUUUAUCUGGGACGAAAACGGGAUUUUUAUCUCAAUUGACGGUACCAGAGGAAUAAGCACCGGCUAACUACGUGCCAGCAGCCGCGGUAAUACGUAGGGUGCAAGCGUUAAUCGGAAUUACUAAGCGUAAAGCGUGCGCAGGCGGUUUUGUAAGACAGAGGUGAAAUCCCCGGGCUCAACCUGGGAACUGCCUUUGUGACUGCAAGGCUGGAGUGCGGCAGAGGGGGAUGGAAUUCCGCGUGUAGCAGUGAAAUGCGUAGAUAUGCGGAGGAACACCGAUGGCGAAGGCAAUCCCCUGGGCCUGCACUGACGCUCAUGCACGAAAGCGUGGGGAGCAAACA
This 420-nucleotide ribosomal RNA is filed under the name uncultured bacterium. RNAcentral's name for it is "bacterial SSU rRNA". It matches the Rfam family "Bacterial small subunit ribosomal RNA", at positions 356 to 774 of the family's 1533-position model. The record is from RNAcentral.